This 200-nucleotide ribosomal RNA is filed under the name uncultured bacterium. Its description in RNAcentral is "partial 16S ribosomal RNA". It matches the Rfam family "Bacterial small subunit ribosomal RNA", at positions 28 to 226 of the family's 1533-position model. The record is from RNAcentral.
GACGAACGCUGGCGGCGUGCCUAACACAUGCAAGUCGAACGAGUCCUGGCUUUCGGGCCAGAGGCGAGUGGCGGACGGGUGAGUAACACGUGAGCAAUCUGUCCCUGUGUGGGGGACAACCCGGGGAAACCCGGGCUAAUACCGCAUGGGCAGGACUUUCGAAAGGAAGACCUGGGAAAGAGGCCCUCUUUACAAUGGUC